CUAAGUUUGAUGGCGACCGGCGCACGGGUGAGUAACACGUAUCCAACCUGCCGAUGACUCGGGGAUAGCCUUUCGAAAGAACGAUUAAUACCCGAUGGCAUAGUUCUUCCGCAUGGUAGAACUAUUAAAGGAUUUCGGUCAUCGAUGGGGAUGCGUUCCAUUAGGUUGUUGGCGGGGUAACGGCCCACCAAGCCUUCGAUGGAUAGGGGUUCUGAGAGGAAGGUCCCCCACAUUGGAACUGAGACACGGUCCAAACUCCUACGGGAGGCAGCAUG
This 275-nucleotide ribosomal RNA is filed under the name uncultured bacterium. RNAcentral's name for it is "partial 16S ribosomal RNA". It matches the Rfam family "Bacterial small subunit ribosomal RNA", at positions 79 to 353 of the family's 1533-position model. The record is from RNAcentral.